This 68-nucleotide transfer RNA is filed under the name Loxodonta africana (African savanna elephant). It matches the Rfam family "tRNA". From Rfam's summary of the family: Transfer RNA (tRNA) molecules are approximately 80 nucleotides in length. Their secondary structure includes four short double-helical elements and three loops (D, anti-codon, and T loops). The record is from Rfam by way of RNAcentral. Lineage: Eukaryota; Metazoa; Chordata; Mammalia; Proboscidea; Elephantidae.
GUGGUGGUUUAGUGGUAGAAUUCUUGCCUUUCAUGCGGGAAACCUGGGUUCGAUUCCCAGCUGGUACA